RNAcentral lists this ribosomal RNA (484 nucleotides) under uncultured bacterium. RNAcentral's name for it is "bacterial SSU rRNA". It matches the Rfam family "Bacterial small subunit ribosomal RNA", at positions 8 to 507 of the family's 1533-position model. The record is from RNAcentral.
AGAGUUUGAUCCUGGCUCAGAAUCAACGCUGGCGGCGUGCCUCAGACAUGCAAGUCGAACGAUUAAAGCUCUCUUCGGAGAGUGUAUAGAGUGGCGCACGGGUGAGUAACACGUAAGUAAUCUACCCUCGAGUGGGGAAUAACAACCGGAAACGGUUGCUAAUACCGCAUAAUGCAGCGGCACCGCAAGGUGACAGUUGUUAAAGAUUUAUCGCUUGAGGAGGAGCUUGCGGCAGAUUAGCUAGUUGUAGGGUAACGGCUUACCAAGGCUACGAUCUGUAACCGGUCUAAGAGGACGGUCGGUCACACUGACACUGAAUAACGGGUCAGACUCCUACGGGAGGCAGCAGUCGGGAAUUUUGGGCAAUGGGCGAAAGCCUGACCCAGCAACGCCGCGUGAAGGAUGAAGUAUCUCGGUAUGUAAACUUCGAAAGAAUAGGAAGAAUUAAUGACGGUACUAUUUAUAAGGUCCGGCUAACUACGUG